GGGGGGGUCUCACCUGCCACUUCCGGGAGUCCUCACGACGUCGUAGCGUACGCUGGGCUUCCUGCGACGGUCUCUCGACGGGCUUCUCAGGACGGUGGUUCCCUCCCUGAACGGUUCCCGGACGUCGCGCGAGUAGGUUUCGAUCGGACGCGCGCCUCGCGUUACACCACGUUCGAGGAGAACGCCGUUGCAAAAUUCGCGAGUUCCCUCACGACGGACGCUCGGGAUGUUACUGAGAGAUGUUCUCGCUGAAGGGCAGAGAUGAGGAAGAAAUAGAAGAAGAUUCAAAGAGUGGAGAGAAGCGCGCGCGUGUCCUCCGUCUGUGCGUCAGCGGUGCGUGACGCAUAGCGAUUUAAAUAAGCAUGCAAUAUUUUCUUAACGAGGAACGUAGCCUCGCGAUUAAUCAACGUAAAUGUACACGGAAGCCAUUCCAUUAUCCCAACAGUUCGCGCGCUUCUCGGAGACACCUCGAGCGUACGCGGAAAUGGACGGACAAUCCACCGGAUGUUACGCCAAUGUGUGCGAUUGCAUCGUAUAAGAACAUUCAUCGGCAUACACGGCGCUGAGAGAGAACGCGUUUGCCGGACACACGCGCGUCGCUGUAGUCUGCAAACCAGGCGGAUCAACAACCGGACGAGCUGCAGCUUCCCCUGCGCGUUUCGUCUGCUCCUCUCGUCGUCGCGAUGCACGCGGAAGAUUUAACGCUCGGCUCUCCGCACGACUCGCUCGCGCGCCAGAGAGAAAGAACGAACCGAGGAAGUGGAGGUAAUUAAUCGAGUGUAUCGUGGCAAAAAUUCAUGUGAAAUGAGACGAGAAGUCGAGCGGACGAGGGCGAAAACGUUGUUAUUAAUGACGCGGGAGUUUUUCUCGCGGAAGACACCGGGAUAAGCUCGCGAGGCUCCCGACGAAAAAUGGUAAUGGCCAUUAACGCGCUGCACCCCUUCGAGGGGGUAAAUUGCAGUAACGGACGAUGGUUCGAGUGGGGGGCAGAAUCGACGCGUUGAGUGAACUCGCAGACGAAAACGAGUGACACGUGCGCGCCAUAAGGGCGACGAUCUUACGCCUCGCUCUCCAUUUUCAUCCUCCACUCCGUAAAAAAACUCCGCUAAUACAGCGUCGGAAACGCUGGAAUAACAAAGUACACGCGUGCGACGGCAAUCGCUCGGGCACAGAAGCUUUGCUGUUAUUUUAAUAUAUUAAACAUAUGUUAAAUAGCAAUAUAUAAAUAUUAUGUUAUAUUUUAAUCUAAAAAUAAAUGUAAAUUUUAUAAUUUGUUAUGUCAAAGUGACACAUAUAACUCUAUUAUAAUGCUAAUGUAACAUAUAUCACGAGAGAAGUAACAGUCCCUCUCAUACUGAAGAAUGAGCUCAACAUUUUUACUUGCCAAUUUGAACAGAUGAAUUCUGUCACUGAUAAUAAGAAACACAUUUAUUGCGUAAAAUUUAAAAUCCAUGCGCAUUGUAUUGCUCUUUUUCAGUUAUUCUAGUAAUUCGAUGUUUUAUUUAAAUUAAAACAACAGCAAUUUGUAAAACUUAUUCGUGUUUUUAACACAAAAAUUUCAAGGACUGAUUUUAACGUAAAUACAAAACGUUUUUGUUACUGUUCGGAGUUCGAAUGCAACGACAGUGCGACGCUGGGUCGAUUGAGUCCUCGCACGACGAGGAAUUAAAAUUCAUGCUUCGCCGCAAUUAUCCGAACGUGAUGGAUCACGUAGCCGACACGGUGAUAUACAUACGUAUUACGUAUCGAGGAAGACGUAAAGUGCGCCGUAGAUCGCGGAAAUGCGAAGGACGACGAGAGCGAGAGAUACGACGGGAGUUUAUUUCCCUAACGUGCGCAUCCCCGCACUUUAUCCCACGUUUCCCCGAGACGUGCAUUUUCACGUCAGUUUCGACACGCGAGAGAGAAACGUGAAAAUAUCCCCCUGCCAUCUUCAAUUCUAUCGAUAUCCGCAUCCUUAUUAGAUUGCCUAUAUUUAAAUUAAGUUUACGAUGUACCUGUAUUUUUCUUUGACGUAACUCUUCAUUGCAGUUUACGCUCAUAAUUAAAAUAAAGCUCGGAGCUGAAGCGAAAGAAGAUUUGAUGAUUUAAAAGCAGGCGAAACGCGGCAACGUAAUAUUCAGCGAUUUCAAAGUUAGAUUAUGAAAGCUACGCGUCCGGCAAAAGAGAAGUACCAGAGGUUUAUUAUGAUACGCAUCAAGCUUAAGCCCAUUUAAAAGUAAUUAAUCCGUUGCCAUACAGUGUUCCGCAGUCACUAGACAAUAUUUGAAUAGCGCUGAAACGCUGGGGAGCAAUUAAAUUUCGAAACUCUUUUAUUGAAAUUGUCGAAUAUUUUUCGUGUUAUAAACUAUUAAAAGUUAACCAAUAGUAACGCGUUUGCACAUGCUCAUAAUUAUAUUUAAUAAUAAUCUAGUCCCCCGACGUUUUCACGUUGAGUCUCUCGAUAUUCUCAUUAAUUUUCAGAGUACGUUAAUAAAGUGCUUUUUUUCCCUUACAUCUUGGAUAGACUCGAAGAAAAGAGAGAAACGUAAAAUGAUUAUAAAAUAUUAAGAUCGAUACCGCUUU
Long non-coding RNA from Monomorium pharaonis (pharaoh ant), 2565 nucleotides. RefSeq lists it as uncharacterized. The transcript has 4 exons. Lineage: Eukaryota; Metazoa; Arthropoda; Insecta; Hymenoptera; Formicidae. The record is from RefSeq and is a predicted model, not a curated record.